UAUGAAGGUCAGGCUGAAGACCUUACCCGAUUAGCUGAGAGGUGGCGCAUGGCCGUCGUCAGUUCGUACUGUGAAGCAUCCUGUUAAGUCAGGCAACGAGCGAGACCCACGUCCACAGUUGCCAGCAUACCCUCCGGGGUGAUGGGUACACUGUGGAGACCGCCGCUGCUAAAGCGGAGGAAGGAGUGGGCAACGGUAGGUCAGUAUGCCCCGAAUCUCCCGGGCUACACGCGGGCUACAAUGGUUGGUACAAUGGGCAUCUACCCCGAAAGGGGAAGGAAAUCUCUUAAAGCCAAUCGUAGUUCGGAUUGAGGGCUGCAACUCGCCCUCAUGAAGCUGGAAUCCGUAGUAAUCGCGUUUCAACAGAACGCGGUGAAUACGUCCCUGCUCCUU
RNAcentral lists this ribosomal RNA (393 nucleotides) under uncultured Methanosaeta sp. RNAcentral describes it as "bacterial SSU rRNA". It matches the Rfam family "Archaeal small subunit ribosomal RNA", at positions 946 to 1338 of the family's 1478-position model. The record is from RNAcentral. Lineage: Archaea; Methanobacteriati; Methanobacteriota; Methanomicrobia; Methanotrichales; Methanotrichaceae.